UACGUAGGUGGCAAGCGUUACUCGGAAUCACUAGGCGUAAAGCGCAGGUAGGAGGUUUGGUAAGUCUGUUGUGAAAGCUCCCGGCUUAACUGGGAGAGGUCAACGGAAACUACUAGGCUAGAGUGUGGUAGAGGAAGAUGGAAUUCCCGGUGUAGCGGUGAAAUGCGUAGAUAUCGGGAGGAAUACCUAUGGCGAAAGCAGUCUUCUGGACCAUCACUGACUCUGAUCUGCGAAAGCUAGGGGAGCAAACAG
This 252-nucleotide ribosomal RNA is filed under the name uncultured bacterium. RNAcentral describes it as "partial 16S ribosomal RNA". It matches the Rfam family "Bacterial small subunit ribosomal RNA", at positions 524 to 775 of the family's 1533-position model. The record is from RNAcentral.